CGGACGGGUGAGUAAUGUCUGGGAAACUGCCCGAUGGAGGGGGAUAACUACUGGAAACGGUAGCUAAUACCGCAUAACGUCGCAAGACCAAAAGGGGGACCUUAGGGCCUCUUGCCAUCGGAUGUGCCCAGAUGGGAUUAGCUAGUAGGUGGGGUAAUGGCUCACCUAGGCGACGAUCCCUAGCUGGUCUGAGAGGAUGACCAGCCACACUGGAACUGAGACACGGUCCAG
Molecule: ribosomal RNA, 231 nt
Filed under: uncultured bacterium
Lineage: Bacteria
Description: partial 16S ribosomal RNA
Rfam family: Bacterial small subunit ribosomal RNA
Source: RNAcentral